RNAcentral lists this ribosomal RNA (554 nucleotides) under uncultured Mycobacterium sp. Its description in RNAcentral is "bacterial SSU rRNA". It matches the Rfam family "Bacterial small subunit ribosomal RNA", at positions 842 to 1396 of the family's 1533-position model. The record is from RNAcentral. Lineage: Bacteria; Bacillati; Actinomycetota; Actinomycetes; Mycobacteriales; Mycobacteriaceae.
CGUGCCGUAGCUAACGCAUUAAGUACCCCGCCUGGUGAGUACGGCCGCAAGGCUAAAACUCAAAGAAAUUGACGGGGGCCCGCACAAGCGGCGGAGCAUGUGGAUUAAUUCGAUGCAACGCGAAGAACCUUACCUGGGUUUGACAUGCACAGGACGCCGGCAGAGAUGUCGGUUCCCUUGUGGCCUGUGUGCAGGUGGUGCAUGGCUGUCGUCAGCUCGUGUCGUGAGAUGUUGGGUUAAGUCCCGCAACGAGCGCAACCCUUGUCUCAUGUUGCCAGCGGGUAAUGCCGGGGACUCGUGAGAGACUGCCGGGGUCAACUCGGAGGAAGGUGGGGAUGACGUCAAGUCAUCAUGCCCCUUAUGUCCAGGGCUUCACACAUGCUACAAUGGCCGGUACAAAGGGCUGCGAUGCCGCGAGGUUAAGCGAAUCCUUUUAAAGCCGGCCUCAGUUCGGAUCGGGGUCUGCAACUCGACCCCGUGAAGUCGGAGUCGCUAGUAAUCGCAGAUCAGCAACGCUGCGGUGAUACGUUCCCGGGCUUUGCACACACCGCCCG